GAUGAACGUUGGCGGCGUGCCUAAUACAUGCAAGUCGAGCGAACGGACGAGAAGCUUGCUUCUCUGAUGUUAGCGGCGGACGGGUGAGUAACACGUGGAUAACCUACCUACAAGACUGGGAUAACUUCGGGAAACCGGAGCUAAUACCGGAUAAUAUUUUGAACCGCAUGGUUCAAAAGUGAAAGACGGUCUUGCUGUCACUUAUAGAUGGAUCCGCGCUGCAUUAGCUAGUUGGUAAGGUAACGGCUUACCAAGGCAACGUUGCAUAGCCGACCUGAGAGGGUGAUCGGCCACACUGGAACUGAGACACGGUCCAGACUCCUACGGGAGGCAGCAGUAGGGAAUCUCCCGCAAUGGGCGAAAGCCUGACGGAGCAACGCCGCGUGAGUGAUGAAGGUCUUCGGAUCGUAAAACUCUGUUAUUAGGGAAGAACAUAUGUGUAAGUAACUGUGCACAUCUUGACGGUACCUAAUCAGAAAGCCACGGCUAACUACGUGCCAGCAGCCGCGGUAAUACGUAGGUGGCAAGCGUUAUCCGGAAUUAUUGGGCGUAAAGCGCGCGUAGGCGGUUUUUUAAGUCUGAUGUGAAAGCCCACGGCUCAACCGUGGAGGGUCAUUGGAAACUGGAAAACUUGAGUGCAGAAGAGGAAAGUGGAAUUCCAUGUGUAGCGGUGAAAUGCGCAGAGAUAUGGAGGAACACCAGUGGCGAAGGCGACUUUCUGGUCUGUAACUGACGCUGAUGUGCGAAAGCGUGGGGAUCAAACAGGAUUAGAUACCCUGGUAGUCCACGCCGUAAACGAUGAGUGCUAGGUGUUAGGGGGUUUCCGCCCCUUAGUGCUGCAGCUAACGCAUUAAGCACUCCGCCUGGGGAGUACGACCGCAAGGUUGAAACUCAAAGGAAUUGACGGGGACCCGCACAAGCGGUGGAGCAUGUGGUUUAAUUCGAAGCAACGCGAAGAACCUUACCAAAUCUUGACAUCCUUUGACAACUCUAGAGAUAGAGCCUUCCCCUUCGGGGGACAAAGUGACAGGUGGUGCAUGGUUGUCGUCAGCUCGUGUCGUGAGAUGUUGGGUUAAGUCCCGCAACGAGCGCAACCCUUAAGCUUAGUUGCCAUCAUUAAGUUGGGCACUCUAAGUUGACUGCCGGUGACAAACCGGAGGAAGGUGGGGAUGACGUCAAAUCAUCAUGCCCCUUAUGAUUUGGGCUACACACGUGCUACAAUGGACAAUACAAAGGGCAGCGAAACCGCGAGGUCAAGCAAAUCCCAUAAAGUUGUUCUCAGUUCGGAUUGUAGUCUGCAACUCGACUACAUGAAGCUGGAAUCGCUAGUAAUCGUAGAUCAGCAUGCUACGGUGAAUACGUUCCCGGGUCU
RNAcentral lists this ribosomal RNA (1372 nucleotides) under uncultured bacterium. Its description in RNAcentral is "bacterial SSU rRNA". It matches the Rfam family "Bacterial small subunit ribosomal RNA", at positions 28 to 1381 of the family's 1533-position model. The record is from RNAcentral.